Molecule: ribosomal RNA, 292 nt
Filed under: uncultured bacterium
Lineage: Bacteria
Description: partial 16S ribosomal RNA
Rfam family: Bacterial small subunit ribosomal RNA
Source: RNAcentral
GUGCCAGCAGCCGCGGUAAUACGUAGGCAGCAAGCGUUGUUCGGAGUUACUGGGCGUAAAGAGUAUGUAGGCGGUUGCGUAAGUUCGGUGUGAAAUCUCCCGGCUUAACUGGGAGGGUGCGCCGAAAACUGCGUGGCUUGAGUGCGGGAGAGGAGAGCGGAAUUCCUGGUGUAGCGGUGAAAUGCGUAGAUAUCAGGAGGAACACCGGCGGUGUAGACGGCUCUCUGGACCGUAACUGACGCUGAGAUACGAAAGCGUGGGUAGCAAACAGGAUUAGAUACCCUUGUAGUCC